This 308-nucleotide long non-coding RNA is filed under the name Mytilus galloprovincialis (Mediterranean mussel). The record is from RNAcentral. Lineage: Eukaryota; Metazoa; Mollusca; Bivalvia; Mytilida; Mytilidae.
GUCCAAUUCAUCUGAAAAUUUCACGGCAGAUAGAACUUGACAUGAUAAACAAUUUUACCCCAUGUCAGAUUUGCUCUAAAUGCUUUGGUUUUUGAGUUAUAAGCCAAAAUCUUCAUUUUACCCCUAUGUUCUAUUUUUAGCCAUGGCGGCCAUCUUGGUUGGUUGGCCGGUUCACCGAACACAUUUUUUAAACUAGAUACCCUAAUGAUGAUUGUGGUCAAGUUUGGUUAAAUUUGGCCCAGUAGUUUCAGAGGAGAAGAUUUUUGUAAAAGUUAACGACGCCGGACGACGACAGACGACGGAUGACA